GACGAACGCUGGCGGCGUGCUUAACACAUGCAAGUCGAACGGUGAAAGCGGAGCUUGCUCCGCUGGAUCAGUGGCGAACGGGUGAGUAACACGUGGGCAACCUGCCCUUCACUUCGGGAUAACUCCGGGAAACCGGGGCUAAUACCGGAUAUGACCUCUGCGGGCAUCCGCGGCGGUGGAAAGUUUUUCGGUGGGGGAUGUGCUCGCGGCCUAUCAGCUUGUUGGUGGGGUAAUGGCCUACCACGGCUUCGACGGGUAGCCGGCCUGAGAGGGUGACCGGCCACACUGGGACUGAGACACGGCCCGGACUCCUACGGGAGGCAGCGGUGGGGAAUAUUGGACAAUGGGCGGAAGCCUGAUCCAGCAACGCCGCGUGAGGGAUGACGGCCUUCGGGUUGUAAACCUCUUUCAGUAGGAACGAAGCGCAAGUGACGGUACCUACAGAAGAAGCACCGGCCAACUACGUGCCAGCCGCCGCCGUAA
RNAcentral lists this ribosomal RNA (483 nucleotides) under uncultured bacterium. RNAcentral's name for it is "partial 16S ribosomal RNA". It matches the Rfam family "Bacterial small subunit ribosomal RNA", at positions 28 to 523 of the family's 1533-position model. The record is from RNAcentral.